UUAAAUUGAAGAGUUUGAUCAUGGCUCAGAUUGAACGCUGGCGGCAGGCCUAACACAUGCAAGUCGAACGGUAACAGAGAUCAG
RNAcentral lists this ribosomal RNA (84 nucleotides) under Escherichia coli. Its description in RNAcentral is "partial 16S ribosomal RNA". It matches the Rfam family "Bacterial small subunit ribosomal RNA", at positions 1 to 82 of the family's 1533-position model. The record is from RNAcentral. Lineage: Bacteria; Pseudomonadati; Pseudomonadota; Gammaproteobacteria; Enterobacterales; Enterobacteriaceae.